Molecule: small nucleolar RNA, 173 nt
Rfam family: Small nucleolar RNA snR32 (bases 27-173)
UGUGUCUUCUUUAUUCACAACUCAGUAACAUCAAAUCGCUAGCGGAUUGGUGGGGUUACACUUUGUUUUUACAGGUUUGUGAUCCCUAUGUCUCUGCCGGUGUAGAAAGAAGGACGUUGCUGGGCGCCUGGUGGUGAAUUCUGAGCCAUUAGGAAUCAGCUGUUCCGACACCU